AAAGUCGUAACAAGGUUUCCGUAGGUGAACCUGCGGAAGGAUCAUUAGAAUCUUUUCUUGGGGGGAAGGGAUGCGCACCCUUUCACUCUCGAAUCUAGGGGGGAGGGGCUACGGCCUGCCCCCCGCCAACCCCAAACCAAACUGUGAAAACUCCUUAAAACUGUUAAACUUCAAUCUUGUAAACUGUAAAUGUCUGAAAUGUAUGGAAAACAAGUUAAAACUUUCAACAACGGAUCUCUUGGUUCUC
This 247-nucleotide unclassified non-coding RNA is filed under the name Ascomycota sp. RNAcentral describes it as "partial contains small subunit ribosomal RNA, internal transcribed spacer 1, and 5.8S ribosomal RNA". The stretch from base 1 to 47 matches the Rfam family "Eukaryotic small subunit ribosomal RNA", at positions 1785 to 1831 of the family's 1831-position model. Lineage: Eukaryota; Fungi; Ascomycota. The record is from RNAcentral.